GUACUUGCUUUGGCAGUGCAUAUACUGAAUUUGGAAUGAUAUGGAGAAGAGUAACAGGGCCCCUGCACAAGAAUGACAUACAGAUAUGUGAGGAAUUACCUAUUUAA
Molecule: small nuclear RNA, 107 nt
Organism: Peromyscus maniculatus bairdii (prairie deer mouse)
Lineage: Eukaryota; Metazoa; Chordata; Mammalia; Rodentia; Cricetidae
Source: Ensembl